This 1315-nucleotide ribosomal RNA is filed under the name Lysinibacillus macroides. RNAcentral's name for it is "bacterial SSU rRNA". It matches the Rfam family "Bacterial small subunit ribosomal RNA", at positions 53 to 1347 of the family's 1533-position model. The record is from RNAcentral. Lineage: Bacteria; Bacillati; Bacillota; Bacilli; Caryophanales; Bacillaceae.
ACAUGCAAGUCGAGCGAACAGAGAAGGAGCUUGCUCCUUCGACGUUAGCGGCGGACGGGUGAGUAACACGUGGGCAACCUACCUUAUAGUUUGGGAUAACUCCGGGAAACCGGGGCUAAUACCGAAUAAUCUAUUUUACUUCAUGGUGAAAUACUGAAAGACGGUUUCGGCUGUCGCUAUAAGAUGGGCCCGCGGCGCAUUAGCUAGUUGGUGAGGUAACGGCUCACCAAGGCGACGAUGCGUAGCCGACCUGAGAGGGUGAUCGGCCACACUGGGACUGAGACACGGCCCCAGACUCCUACGGGAGGCAGCAGUAGGGAAUCUUCCACAAUGGGCGAAAGCCUGAUGGAGCAACGCCGCGUGAGUGAAGAAGGUUUUCGGAUCGUAAAACUCUGUUGUAAGGGAAGAACAAGUACAGUAGUAACUGGCUGUACCUUGACGGUACCUUAUUAGAAAGCCACGGCUAACUACGUGCCAGCAGCCGCGGUAAUACGUAGGUGGCAAGCGUUGUCCGGAAUUAUUGGGCGUAAAGCGCGCGCAGGCGGUCCUUUAAGUCUGAUGUGAAAGCCCACGGCUCAACCGUGGAGGGUCAUUGGAAACUGGGGGACUUGAGUGCAGAAGAGGAAAGUGGAAUUCCAAGUGUAGCGGUGAAAUGCGUAGAGAUUUGGAGGAACACCAGUGGCGAAGGCGACUUUCUGGUCUGUAACUGACGCUGAGGCGCGAAAGCGUGGGGAGCAAACAGGAUUAGAUACCCUGGUAGUCCACGCCGUAAACGAUGAGUGCUAAGUGUUAGGGGGUUUCCGCCCCUUAGUGCUGCAGCUAACGCAUUAAGCACUCCGCCUGGGGAGUACGGUCGCAAGACUGAAACUCAAAGGAAUUGACGGGGGCCCGCACAAGCGGUGGAGCAUGUGGUUUAAUUCGAAGCAACGCGAAGAACCUUACCAGGUCUUGACAUCCCGUUGACCACUGUAGAGAUAUGGUUUUCCCUUCGGGGACAACGGUGACAGGUGGUGCAUGGUUGUCGUCAGCUCGUGUCGUGAGAUGUUGGGUUAAGUCCCGCAACGAGCGCAACCCUUGAUCUUAGUUGCCAUCAUUUAGUUGGGCACUCUAAGGUGACUGCCGGUGACAAACCGGAGGAAGGUGGGGAUGACGUCAAAUCAUCAUGCCCCUUAUGACCUGGGCUACACACGUGCUACAAUGGACGAUACAAACGGUUGCCAACUCGCGAGAGGGAGCUAAUCCGAUAAAGUCGUUCUCAGUUCGGAUUGUAGGCUGCAACUCGCCUACAUGAAGCCGGAAUCGCUAGUAAUCGCGG